AGGGAUUUAGCUCAGUGGUAUAAGCACCUGCCUGGCAAGCACGAGGUUGAGUUCAAUCCCUG
This 62-nucleotide transfer RNA is filed under the name Cavia porcellus (domestic guinea pig). It matches the Rfam family "tRNA". Rfam says of the family: Transfer RNA (tRNA) molecules are approximately 80 nucleotides in length. Their secondary structure includes four short double-helical elements and three loops (D, anti-codon, and T loops). Further hydrogen bonds mediate the characteristic L-shaped molecular structure. tRNAs have two regions of fundamental functional importance: the anti-codon, which is responsible for specific mRNA codon recognition, and the 3' end, to which the tRNAs corresponding amino acid is attached (by aminoacyl-tRNA synthetases). tRNAs cope with the degeneracy of the genetic code in two manners: having more than one tRNA (with a specific anti-codon) for a particular amino acid; and 'wobble' base-pairing, i.e. permitting non-standard base-pairing at the 3rd anti-codon position. Lineage: Eukaryota; Metazoa; Chordata; Mammalia; Rodentia; Caviidae. The record is from Rfam by way of RNAcentral.